Molecule: long non-coding RNA, 575 nt
Filed under: Numida meleagris (helmeted guineafowl)
Lineage: Eukaryota; Metazoa; Chordata; Aves; Galliformes; Numididae
Description: lncRNA (ENSNMEG00000006058.1)
Source: RNAcentral
CUCCUACUGGGUGAUAAUACUUUGUGACACACUUUGCAACUAUACUCUUCCCUUAACCUUGAAGAUUGGUUCUCACAAUGAUGAGCAACCUAAAAGCAAGACUAAUUCAAUUACAGAAUGAAAACUAGAUUGAUGCUCUGUUUGGAGAUUUCUAGCUUGUUCUCUCCUUCCUCCACUUCCAGCAAGGUAAGGUAAAGUGCAAGUACAGAAGACCAUCUCCCUGCUGACCUCUGCCUCCUGCAGGCAGUUUGCAGGUGGCAGCAUUUGUUUCCUCACUUCUCAUCUCUCCUUGUCUUUCAGCCAUGGGAAACUCUCGGCACAUGGUAUUUCUUCUCCCCACUCUUCUUGGAUCCAAAAUGCAAGCAACUCUGACGUGAGAGGCCACAGGAGGUAGUAGAGAAGUUUCAGUCUCAAUUGUCCUGACACAACAUUACUAAGGUGAGGCUGCUUUUUGAAAGUUAAUAUUUGGUAACAUUAUAACUCUGAUCUUACUGUGUCAGUAAAAUGGUUUAGACUAGAAAUAAGUUCCUAAAGUUUUAACUAAUGAAUACAGGUUUCAUAAACUUUUGUGAAUU